AUUGAACGCUGGCGGCAGGCCUAACACAUGCAAGUCGAGCGGAUGAAGGGAGCUUGCUCCUGGAUUCAGCGGCGGACGGGUGAGUAAUGCCUAGGAAUCUGCCUGGUAGUGGGGGAUAACGUCCGGAAACGGGCGCUAAUACCGCAUACGUCCUGAGGGUGAAAGUGGGGGAUCUUCGGACCUCACGCUAUCAGAUGAGCCUAGGUCGGAUUAGCUAGUUGGUGGGGUAAAGGCCUACCAAGGCGACGAUCCGUAACUGGUCUGAGAGGAUGAUCAGUCACACUGGAACUGAGACACGGUCCAGACUCCUACGGGAGGCAGCAGUGGGGAAUAUUGGACAAUGGGCGAAAGCCUGAUCCAGCCAUGCCGCGUGUGUGAAGAAGGUCUUCGGAUUGUAAAGCACUUUAAGUUGGGAGGAAGGGCAGUAAGUUAAUACCUGGCUGUUUUGACGUUACCAACAGAAUAAGCACCGGCUAACUUCGUG
RNAcentral lists this ribosomal RNA (484 nucleotides) under uncultured bacterium. RNAcentral describes it as "partial 16S ribosomal RNA". It matches the Rfam family "Bacterial small subunit ribosomal RNA", at positions 30 to 507 of the family's 1533-position model. The record is from RNAcentral.